This 468-nucleotide ribosomal RNA is filed under the name uncultured bacterium. RNAcentral's name for it is "partial 16S ribosomal RNA". It matches the Rfam family "Bacterial small subunit ribosomal RNA", at positions 28 to 507 of the family's 1533-position model. The record is from RNAcentral.
GACGAACGCUGGCGGCGUGCUUAACACAUGCAAGUCGAACGGAAAGGCGCUGCUUUUGUUGGGUGCGCGAGGGGCGAACGGGUGGGUAACACGGGAGUAACCUUCCCUUGGCUGGGGGAUAAAUUCAGGAAACUGGGGCUAAUACCGGAGAGGAGCUCCUGCUGCAGGGGGGGGGUUGGAAAGUUUCGGCGGUGAGGGGUGGACGCGCGGCUUAUCAGCUUGUGGGGGGGGUAGUGGCUUACCAGGGGUUUGACGGGUGGCCGGCCUGAGAGGGUGACCGGCCACAUUGGGCCUGCGAUACGGCCCAGACUCCUACGGGAGGCAGCAGUGGGGAAUAUUGCCCAAUGGGCGGAAGCCUGAUGCAGCAACGCUGCGUGCGGGAUGACGGCCUUCGCGUUGUAAACCGCUUUCGCCUGUGACGAAGCGUGAGUGACGGUAAUGGGUAAAGAAGCACCGGCUAACUACGUG